UGUGAGACAGGUGCUGCAUGGCUGUCGUCAGCUCGUGUUGUGAAAUGUUGGGUUAAGUCCCGCAACGAGCGCAACCCUUAUCCUUUGUUGCCAGCGGUCCGGCCGGGAACUCAAAGGAGACUGCCAGUGAUAAACUGGAGGAAGGUGGGGAUGACGUCAAGUCAUCAUGGCCCUUACGACCAGGGCUACACACGUGCUACAAUGGCGCAUACAAAGAGAAGCGACCUCGCGAGAGCAAGCGGACCUCAUAAAGUGCGUCGUAGUCCGG
This 268-nucleotide ribosomal RNA is filed under the name Escherichia coli. RNAcentral's name for it is "partial 16S ribosomal RNA". It matches the Rfam family "Bacterial small subunit ribosomal RNA", at positions 1028 to 1296 of the family's 1533-position model. Lineage: Bacteria; Pseudomonadati; Pseudomonadota; Gammaproteobacteria; Enterobacterales; Enterobacteriaceae. The record is from RNAcentral.